RNAcentral lists this ribosomal RNA (449 nucleotides) under uncultured bacterium. RNAcentral's name for it is "partial 16S ribosomal RNA". It matches the Rfam family "Bacterial small subunit ribosomal RNA", at positions 29 to 523 of the family's 1533-position model. The record is from RNAcentral.
AACGAACGCUGGCGGCAUGCCUAACACAUGCAAGUCGAACGAAGCCUUCGGGCUUAGUGGCGCACGGGUGCGUAACGCGUGGGAAUCUGCCCUUAGGUGCGGAAUAACUCAGGGAAACUUGAGCUAAUACCGCAUAAUGACUCCGGUCCAAAGAUUUAUCGCCUAAGGAUGAGCCAGCGUCGGAUUAGCUAGUUGGUGAGGUAAAAGCUCACCAAGGCGACGAUCGGUAGCUGGUCUGAGAGGCUGAUCAGCCACACUGGGACUGAGACACGGCCCAGACUCCUACGGGGGGCAGCAGUGGGGAAUAUUGGACAUUGGGCGAAAGCCUGAUCAAGCAAUGCCGCGUGAGUGAUGAAGGCCUUAGGGUUGUAAAGCUCUUUUACCCGGGAUGAUAAUGACAGUACCGGGAGAAUAAGCCCCGGCUAACUCCGUGCCAGCCGCCGCCGUAA